This 2102-nucleotide long non-coding RNA is filed under the name Canis lupus familiaris (dog). Its description in RNAcentral is "lncRNA (ENSCAFG00845013427.1)". The record is from RNAcentral. Lineage: Eukaryota; Metazoa; Chordata; Mammalia; Carnivora; Canidae.
CUGGCCUGUCCUCACCUCCUGGGGUCCCGACGUCUUACUCUGGGGCGAGGGAGCGCGCAGGCCGGGAAGCAAUGGCCGCAACUAAAGGCCCAGGAGGCUGGCGGCCUGGUCAGCUUCCCCGGAGCAGAGCAGCGGCCCGGGGCGUGCGGGGCUGGGAGCGCGCGGCUGCGGCCCGGCCCGGCCAGGCCCGCGGGCGGGCUCGGCGCGGAGCUCGGCGCACACCCCGGCGGGAGGACCGCGCCGGGCUCGGAGCCGCGCACGGGCGGGACCUCACGGGGCACUUCUAGGAGCGCUGCAGCCUGGUGGUCGCGGCACCGGGCAGGGCCGCAGCCCCUCCGGCUCCCCACCUCCCGCGCUCCCCGGGCGCGCCCCCGCCGCGCCGGCACCCCGGGGACAGGGCGGGCCCCCAGGGUCGGUCCCGCCUCCGGCAGGGCGGGCGGGGGCCCCACGUCAGCCACCCCGAACUCCCAGGCGCGGGGACGCCCCGGCCCGAGCCAGGCUGGGCGCGCGGGGGCGGGGGGCGCGGGGGGCCUCGGGGGACGCGGGGCGCGGGGGGCGCGGGGGGCCUCGGGGGGCGCGGGGCGGGGGCGCGGGCGCGGGCGGGGGCGCCCCGCAGGGGCCGGCAGGUGGGCGCGCGCUCGCGGGCGGGGGUCCGGCGGGCCGCGCGCCUCCCCCGGAACUCGGCCGUGCCAUUCCCAUGAUGCCCAGCCACCGGGCACGGCUUCCGGAGCGCGGCCGCCGGUAGGUCCGGGAGGGGGCGCCGCCGCCGCCCGCGUCCGCCCGCCCGCCCCGCCCCCGGCCCCGGCCCCGGCCCGCGCCCGCCCGCCGCCUCCCCGGCCGCGCCCGCCCCGGGCCCCCGCCCUCCCCUCUCUUCCCCGGGGCGCGCGCGGGCGGCGGGCCGGGGGCGGCGGCGGGCGGGGCGAGCGCGGCCGGGCCAGGCGCGGGGGGAGCGCCGGGGCCGCCGCCCGGCGGGGGCGGGGGCGGGGGCGGGGGCGGGGCGGGGCGGGGGUGCGCCCCCGAGGCGGCCCCGCGUCCCUCGGAGCCCGCGGCGCGGGCGGGCCCAGGUGCGCGCAGGUGAGGCCCCGCGGCGGGCGCUUCCGGCCUGGCGUCCCCGCCCCCCCGCGCCCCCGACCCUCCGGCGGAAAGGCGGCCCCGCCCCGCCCCGGCCGCGGCUUCCGGGAGGGUCGCGGGCCCGGCCGCCUCGUCGGCCCCCACCCCCACCCCCGGCGCCCGGGGCCCCGCGCAUCCCCGGCGCAGACCCGGGCGCAAGCCGGCCCGCCCCGCGGGAGGUGCUCGCGCUUACCUGGCCGGGCGCCCCGGGGCUGGGGGCGGGGGCCUGGGUGCCAGGGGUCAGAGGGCCGGCGGGGGGGGGGGGGGGGGGCUCGCCCGCCGCGCCCCCAGGCGCAGACGCAGGCCGGGCGGCUUCUCCCGGUGAGAGGUCGCGGCGACCCCGCAGAGCUCCCCUCCCGCAGGCCACGCCCACUCCGGGCGCCCCGGGCUCCCCGGCCCUCCUCCGGCCCUGGCACCCUGACCCUCGCCUCCCUCACCCAGGGGCGAAGCUGCCGCAAGAGGGAAGAACGGGAGCUGGACCGCCUUUUGGAGCUUGUUUUUUGCAUCAAGAGUGAAAUGACCCACGAAGUCUCACUAAGCUUAGAUUCACAUAGUCAUUCUGUUUAACCCAUGAGGAAGCACGUCUGGACUUGAUCUCUCGCCGGCACCUCUUGACAGCCUUCACUGUAGAUAAAACCUCAAUUCUCUUACCAAAAAGAUGGAAGGCCAGAGUAGGGACACAGGACAGGAAGGGACCGUGGCGUGUGCUUCUGUGUAAGUGCGGUGCCUGUGGCUCAGAGCGGUUCCCUCCUCGGUCUCCACAGCCGGCGCUUCCCCUGCAGCUGAGCACACCGAAGCCUAGGAAGCAUGAGUGACCUGCCCGGCACCCCCAGCUUACCCGGCAUCGGCUUCUGACCCGGCCCUCUGGACUCUAGCCCGGUACACUGUUCCUCGGCGGCCGUGUGUGCCAGCAGGGUAGCAUCCUACCAACAUCCUCUCUUUCCUCGCAAGAUGUGAAACAGGCAGAAAAAUAAAGAAUCACCUCUCUGCAC